Molecule: ribosomal RNA, 488 nt
Filed under: uncultured bacterium
Lineage: Bacteria
Description: bacterial SSU rRNA
Rfam family: Bacterial small subunit ribosomal RNA
Source: RNAcentral
ACUCAAAGGAAUUGACGGGGGCCCGCACAAGCAGCGGAGCGUGUGGUUUAAUUCGAUGCAACACGAAAAACCUCACCAGGGUUUGACAUGUCGGAAGUAGCGAACCGAAAGGUAGACAAACUGUCAAGUCAGUAGCCGUCACAGGUGCUGCAUGGCUGUCGUCAGCUCGUGCCGUGAGGUGUAUGGUUAAGUCCUGCAACGAGCGCAACCCUCGUGGUUAGUUGAUUUCUCUAACCAGACCGCCCCGCAAAACGGGGAGGAAGGUGGGGAUGACGUCAAGUCAGCAUGGCCUUUAUACCCUGGGCUACACACACGCUACAAUGGGUGGUACAAUGGGUAGCAACAACGCGAGUUGAAGCCAAUCCCUUAAAACCAUCCUCAGUUCAGAUUGCAGGCUGAAACUCGCCUGCAUGAAGUAGGAGUUGCUAGUAAACGCAAAUCAGCAUGUUGCGUUGAAUACGUUCUCGGGCCUUGUACACACCGCCCGU